This 390-nucleotide unclassified non-coding RNA is filed under the name soil metagenome. RNAcentral describes it as "partial contains 5.8S ribosomal RNA, internal transcribed spacer 2, and large subunit ribosomal RNA". The stretch from base 1 to 122 matches the Rfam family "5.8S ribosomal RNA", at positions 35 to 154 of the family's 154-position model. The record is from RNAcentral.
GAUGAAGAACGUAGCGAAAUGCGAUACUUGGUGUGAAUUGCAGAAUCCCGUGAACCAUCGAGUCUUUGAACGCAAGUUGCGCCCGAAGCCAUUAGGCCGAGGGCACGCCUGCCUGGGCGUCACACGUUGUUGCCCCCCCAUCUACUCCUUCGGGAUUGCGGGGGGCGGAUGAUGGCCUCCCGUGCGCCUCGCCGCGCGGUUGGCAUAAAUGCCAAGUCCUCGGCGACGCACGCCACGACAAUCGGUGGUUGCGAAACCUCGGUUGCCCGUCGUGUGCGGUCGUCGCGCAUCGAGGGCUCGAAAAAAUUGCCGGGUUCCGGCUCGGCUUUCAACGCGACCCCAGGUCAGGCGGGGUUACCCGCUGAAUUUAAGCAUAUCAAAAGCGGAGGA